Pan troglodytes (chimpanzee) is the source of this 148-nucleotide non-coding RNA. It matches the Rfam family "Metazoan signal recognition particle RNA". Rfam says of the family: The signal recognition particle (SRP) is a universally conserved ribonucleoprotein. Lineage: Eukaryota; Metazoa; Chordata; Mammalia; Primates; Hominidae. The record is from Rfam.
GCUGAGUGUGGUGGCGCACACCUGUAAUCCCAGCUACCAGGGAGGCUGAGGCAGGAGAAUUGCUUGAACCCAGGAGGUGGAGGUUGCAGUGAGCCAAGAUUGCACCACUGCACUCCAGCCUGGGCUACAGAGUGAGACUCUGUCUCAA